This 260-nucleotide ribosomal RNA is filed under the name uncultured bacterium. RNAcentral describes it as "partial 16S ribosomal RNA". It matches the Rfam family "Bacterial small subunit ribosomal RNA", at positions 95 to 354 of the family's 1533-position model. The record is from RNAcentral.
UUGGCGGACGGGUGAGUAACGCGUGGGUAACCUGCCUUACACAGGGGGAGUAACACUUAGAAAUAGGUGCUAAUACCGCAUGAGCGCACAGGACCGCAUGGUCGAGUGUGAAAAACUGAGGUGGUGUAAGAUGGACCCGCGUCUGAUUAGCUAGUUGGUGAGGUAACGGCCCACCAAGGCGACGAUCAGUAGCCGGCCUGAGAGGGUGGACGGCCGCAUUGGGACUGAGACACGGCCCAAACUCCUACGGGAGGCAGCAG